CAGGCUCCAGCAAUCCUCCUGCCUCUGACUCCCAAGUAGCUGAAAUCACAGGCGCCUGCCACCAUGCCCAGUUAAUUUUUGUGUUUUUAGCAGAGAUGGGUUUUCACCAUGUUGGCCUGGCGGCUCUCAAAUUCCUGACCUCAAGUAAUCCGCCCACCUCAGCCUCCCAAAGUGCUGGGAUGACAAGCGUGAGUCACUGCACCUGGCCAUAGGACUGGCUUUCAACAGGAAGCACAGAAAAUUCCUCCAAGGGACAGGAGAGAAGGACAGGUGCACACAUGGCAAAUGCAGCUUUCCUGAUGCAAGAUCAGCGGUCGAGGAUUCGGGCUUGUUGUGGGUACUGGGAAUCUUGAGGAGAGAGGAGAGUCAGAAGCUGCAGUCUUGGAGAAAAAAAACAACAACAGAAAAACAGGACCAGAGUCUGUUUCUGAAUCUGUGCAUCGGUGAUAACUGUGACU
RNAcentral lists this long non-coding RNA (458 nucleotides) under Callithrix jacchus (white-tufted-ear marmoset). RNAcentral's name for it is "lncRNA (ENSCJAG00000072175.1)". The record is from RNAcentral. Lineage: Eukaryota; Metazoa; Chordata; Mammalia; Primates; Cebidae.